GCGCCCGUAGCUCAAUUGGACAGAGCUCCUGACUUCGGAUCAGGAGGUUGCAGGUUCAAAUCCUGCCGGGCGCACCA
Molecule: transfer RNA, 77 nt
Filed under: Lentisphaerota bacterium
Lineage: Bacteria; Pseudomonadati; Lentisphaerota
Description: Lentisphaerae bacterium (freshwater metagenome) tRNA-Arg
Rfam family: tRNA
About the family: Transfer RNA (tRNA) molecules are approximately 80 nucleotides in length. Their secondary structure includes four short double-helical elements and three loops (D, anti-codon, and T loops).
Source: RNAcentral